Molecule: ribosomal RNA, 433 nt
Filed under: uncultured bacterium
Lineage: Bacteria
Description: partial 16S ribosomal RNA
Rfam family: Bacterial small subunit ribosomal RNA
Source: RNAcentral
AGCGAACGCUGGCGGCAGGCCUAACACAUGCAAGUCGAACGAACUCUCCGGAGUUAGUGGCGGACGGGUGAGUAACACGUGGGAACAUGCCUUUUGGUUCGUAACAACUCAGGGAAACUUGUGCCAAUACCGAAUGUGCCCUUCGGGGGAAAGAUUUAUCGCCAUUAGAGCGGCCCGCGUCUGAUUAGCUAGUUGGUGGGGUAACGGCUCACCAGGGCGACGAUCAGUAGCUGGUCUGAGAGGAUGACAAGCCACACUGGGACUGAGACACGGCCCAGACUCCUACGGGAGGCAGCAGUAGGGAAUCUAGCGCAAGGGGCGAAAGCGUGACGCAGCCAUGCCGCGUGAAUGGUGAAGGUCUUAGGAUUGUGAUAUUCUUUCACCGGGGACGAUAAUGACGGUACCCGGUGAAGAAGCCCCGGCUAACUUCGUG